UACAGAGGGUGCAAGCGUUAAUCGGAAUUACUGGGCGUAAAGCGUGCGUAGACGGUUACAUAAGUCGGGUGUGAAAGCCCCGGGCUCAACCUGGGAAUUGCAUUCGAGACUGCGUAGCUAGGGUGCGGAAGAGGGAAGCGGAAUUCCCGGUGUAGCGGUGAAAUGCGUAGAUAUCGGAAGGAACACCAGUGGCGAAAGCGGCUUCCUGGUCCAGCACCGACGUUCAGGCACGAAAGCGUGGGGAGCAAACAGG
Molecule: ribosomal RNA, 253 nt
Filed under: uncultured bacterium
Lineage: Bacteria
Description: partial 16S ribosomal RNA
Rfam family: Bacterial small subunit ribosomal RNA
Source: RNAcentral